Molecule: long non-coding RNA, 482 nt
Filed under: Ananas comosus (pineapple)
Lineage: Eukaryota; Viridiplantae; Streptophyta; Magnoliopsida; Poales; Bromeliaceae
Description: long non-coding RNA (ACOM_LNC025609)
Source: RNAcentral
AGAGAUAGAUAGUAUUUUACUUAAUUAAUAAUAUAAUUAUUAAUUUUAAUAUUAAAAAUUAUAAUAAAAAAUAUAUAAAUUAUUCUUAUGAAUAUUAUAAAAUAAUUUUUUUAUUAAUGUUUUCUUAACUUUUAAUAUUUGAAGAGUUAAAUUAUUUUAAUAAUUUUAUUUAAAAACUCAAUCAAACUUAAUAGCUUUUGUAACUAUUUUAUAAAUAAAAUUUUUAACUAAAAUGUUAAAGUUGGAGGACUUAUUUCAAAUUAUCAAAAUAUGAGAUGCCUUUAUCUUGUUAAAAUUGAUUAGAAUAAGAAAAACUAUUGCAUGUACCUUAUGUAUAUUAAUACUCCAUACACCGCAACUUAUAUUAGAUGACUAUUGUUCUAAUAUCAAAACUUAAUUAAAUAAAUAUGAUCUACACAGUCUAAUAAUUAAAAUUAUUAAAAGGUGUUAAAUGUGUGGUGUAUGUGCACAUAUACAUCCAG